RNAcentral lists this ribosomal RNA (439 nucleotides) under uncultured bacterium. RNAcentral describes it as "partial 16S ribosomal RNA". It matches the Rfam family "Bacterial small subunit ribosomal RNA", at positions 339 to 795 of the family's 1533-position model. The record is from RNAcentral.
CUACGGGUCGCUCCAGUGGGGGAUAUUGCACAAUGGGCGAAAGCCUGAUGCAGCAACGCCGCGUGAAGGAUGACGGAUUUCGGUCUGUAAACUUCUAUCAGCAGGGAAGAAAAUGACGGUACCUGACUAAGAAGCCCCGGCUAACUACGUGCCAGCAGCCGCGGUAAUACGUAGGGGGCAAGCGUUAUCCGGAAUUACUGGGUGUAAAGGGUGCGUAGGCGGCUGAUCAAGUCAGAUGUGAAAGCCCGGAGCUCAACUCCGGGAUUGCAUUUGAAACUGGUCGGCUAGAGUGCAGGAGGGGGAAGUGGAAUUCCUAGUGUAGCGGUGAAAUGCGUAGAUAUUAGGAAGAACACCAGUGGCGAAGGCGGCUUUCUGGACUGUAACUGACGCUGAGGUACGAAAGCGUGGGGAGCGAACAGGAUUAGAUACCCCGGUAGUC